Molecule: ribosomal RNA, 2222 nt
Filed under: Campylobacter jejuni
Lineage: Bacteria; Pseudomonadati; Campylobacterota; Epsilonproteobacteria; Campylobacterales; Campylobacteraceae
Description: partial 23S ribosomal RNA
Rfam family: Bacterial large subunit ribosomal RNA
Source: RNAcentral
CGAAACGAAGUGAUCUAUCCAUGAGCAAGUUGAAGCUAGUGUAAGAACUAGUGGAGGACUGAACCCAUAGGCGUUGAAAAGCCCCGGGAUGACUUGUGGAUAGGGGUGAAAGGCCAAUCAAACUUCGUGAUAGCUGGUUCUCUCCGAAAUAUAUUUAGGUAUAGCGUUGUGUCGUAAUAUAAGGGGGUAGAGCACUGAAUGGGCUAGGGCAUACACCAAUGUACCAAACCCUAUCAAACUCCGAAUACCUUAUAUGUAAUCACAGCAGUCAGGCGGCGAGUGAUAAAAUCCGUCGUCAAGAGGGAAACAACCCAGACUACCAGCUAAGGUCCCUAAGUCUUACUUAAGUGGAAAACGAUGUGAAGUUACUUAAACAACCAGGAGGUUGGCUUAGAAGCAGCCAUCCUUUAAAGAAAGCGUAAUAGCUCACUGGUCUAGUGAUUUUGCGCGGAAAAUAUAACGGGGCUAAAGUAAGUACCGAAGCUGUAGACUUAGUUUACUAAGUGGUAGGAGAGCGUUCUAUUUGCGUCGAAGGUAUACCGGUAAGGAGUGCUGGAGCGAAUAGAAGUGAGCAUGCAGGCAUGAGUAGCGAUAAUUAAUGUGAGAAUCAUUAACGCCGUAAACCCAAGGUUUCCUACGCGAUGCUCGUCAUCGUAGGGUUAGUCGGGUCCUAAGUCGAGUCCGAAAGGGGUAGACGAUGGCAAAUUGGUUAAUAUUCCAAUACCAACAUUAGUGUGCGAUGGAAGGACGCUUAGGGCUAAGGGGGCUAGCGGAUGGAAGUGCUAGUCUAAGGUCGUAGGAGGUUAUACAGGCAAAUCCGUAUAACAAUACUCCGAGAACUGAAAGGCUUUUUGAAGUCUUCGGAUGGAUAGAAGAACCCCUGAUGCCGUCGAGCCAAGAAAAGUUUCUAAGUUUAGCUAAUGUUGCCCGUACCGUAAACCGACACAGGUGGGUGGGAUGAGUAUUCUAAGGCGCGUGGAAGAACUCUCUUUAAGGAACUCUGCAAAAUAGCACCGUAUCUUCGGUAUAAGGUGUGGUUAGCUUUGUAUUAGGAUUUACUCCGAAAGCAAGGAAACUUACAACAAAGAGUCCCUCCCGACUGUUUACCAAAAACACAGCACUCUGCUAACUCGUAAGAGGAUGUAUAGGGUGUGACGCCUGCCCGGUGCUCGAAGGUUAAUUGAUGGGGUUAGCAUUAGCGAAGCUCUUGAUCGAAGCCCGAGUAAACGGCGGCCGUAACUAUAACGGUCCUAAGGUAGCGAAAUUCCUUGUCGGUUAAAUACCGACCUGCAUGAAUGGCGUAACGAGAUGGGAGCUGUCUCAAAGAGGGAUCCAGUGAAAUUGUAGUGGAGGUGAAAAUUCCUCCUACCCGCGGCAAGACGGAAAGACCCCGUGGACCUUUACUACAGCUUGACACUGCUACUUGGAUAAGAAUGUGCAGGAUAGGUGGGAGGCUUUGAGUAUAUGACGCCAGUUGUAUAUGAGCCAUUGUUGAGAUACCACUCUUUCUUAUUUGGGUAGCUAACCAGCUUGAGUUAUCCUCAAGUGGGACAAUGUCUGGUGGGUAGUUUGACUGGGGCGGUCGCCUCCCAAAUAAUAACGGAGGCUUACAAAGGUUGGCUCAGAACGGUUGGAAAUCGUUCGUAGAGUAUAAAGGUAUAAGCCAGCUUAACUGCAAGACAUACAAGUCAAGCAGAGACGAAAGUCGGUCUUAGUGAUCCGGUGGUUCUGUGUGGAAGGGCCAUCGCUCAAAGGAUAAAAGGUACCCCGGGGAUAACAGGCUGAUCUCCCCCAAGAGCUCACAUCGACGGGGAGGUUUGGCACCUCGAUGUCGGCUCAUCGCAUCCUGGGGCUGGAGCAGGUCCCAAGGGUAUGGCUGUUCGCCAUUUAAAGCGGUACGCGAGCUGGGUUCAGAACGUCGUGAGACAGUUCGGUCCCUAUCUGCCGUGGGCGUAAGAAGAUUGAAGAGAUUUGACCCUAGUACGAGAGGACCGGGUUGAACAAACCACUGGUGUAGCUGUUGUUCUGCCAAGAGCAUCGCAGCGUAGCUAAGUUUGGAAAGGAUAAACGCUGAAAGCAUCUAAGCGUGAAGCCAACUCUAAGAUGAAUCUUCUCUAAGCUCUCUAGAAGACUACUAGUUUGAUAGGCUGGGUGUGUAAUGGAUGAAAGUCCUUUAGCUGACCAGUACUAAUAGAGCGUUUGGCUUAUCUUUAAUAAAGCAU